Molecule: ribosomal RNA, 253 nt
Filed under: uncultured bacterium
Lineage: Bacteria
Description: partial 16S ribosomal RNA
Rfam family: Bacterial small subunit ribosomal RNA
Source: RNAcentral
UACGUAGGGUGCGAGCGUUAAUCGGAAUUACUGGGCGUAAAGCGUGCGCAGGCGGUUUUGUAAGCCAGGUGUGAAAUCCCCGGGCUCAACCUGGGAAUGGCAUUUGGGACUGCAAGGCUGGAGUGCGGCAGAGGAGACUGGAAUUCCUGGUGUAGCAGUGAAAUGCGUAGAUAUCAGGAGGAAUACCGACGGCGAAGGCAGGUCUCUGGGCUGACACUGACGCUCAUGCACGAAAGCGUGGGGAGCAAACAGG